AGCAGAAGAAGCCUCUGGUGGGAAAAAAAG
RNAcentral lists this non-coding RNA (30 nucleotides) under Homo sapiens (human). The record is from RNAcentral. Lineage: Eukaryota; Metazoa; Chordata; Mammalia; Primates; Hominidae.